UACGUAGGGGGCAAGCGUUGUCCGGAUUUAUUGGGCGUAAAGAGCGUGUAGGCGGCCAUGCAGGUCAGCUGUGAAAACUCGAGGCUCAACCUCGAGACGUCGGUUGAAACCGUAUGGCUAGAGUCCGGAAGAGGAGAGUGGAAUUCCCGGUGUAGCGGUGAAAUGCGCAGAUAUCGGGAAGGACACCUAUGGCGAAGGCAGCUCUCUGGGACGGUACUGACGCUGAGGAGCGAAAGCGUGGGGAGCGAACAGG
This 253-nucleotide ribosomal RNA is filed under the name uncultured bacterium. RNAcentral describes it as "partial 16S ribosomal RNA". It matches the Rfam family "Bacterial small subunit ribosomal RNA", at positions 524 to 776 of the family's 1533-position model. The record is from RNAcentral.